CACGUGGGGAACCUGCCCCAUAGUCUGGGAUACCACUUGGAAACAGGUGCUAAUACCGGAUAAGAAAGCGGAUCGCAUGAUCAGCUUUUAAAAGGCGGCGUAAGCUGUCGCUAUGGGAUGGCCCCGCGGUGCAUUAGCUAGUUUGUAAGGUAAAGGCUUACCAAGGCGAUGAUGCAUAGCCGAGUUGAGAGACUGAUCGGCCACAUUGGGACUGAGACACGGCCCAAACUCCUACGGGAGGCAGCAGGC
This 249-nucleotide ribosomal RNA is filed under the name uncultured Lactobacillus sp. RNAcentral describes it as "partial 16S ribosomal RNA". It matches the Rfam family "Bacterial small subunit ribosomal RNA", at positions 114 to 354 of the family's 1533-position model. Lineage: Bacteria; Bacillati; Bacillota; Bacilli; Lactobacillales; Lactobacillaceae. The record is from RNAcentral.